CAGUCGCCGCGGUAAUACGAAGGGUGCAAGCGUUAAUCGGAAUUACUGGGCGUAAAGCGUGCGUAGGCGGUGAGUUAAGUCUGCUGUGAAAUCCCCGGGCUAACCUGGGAAUGGCAGUGGAUACUGGCUCGCUAGAGUGUGUCAGAGGAUGGUGGAAUUCCCGGUGUAGCGGUGAAAUGCGUAGAGAUCGGGAGGAACAUCAGUGGCGAAGGCGGCCAUCUGGGACAACACUGACGCUGAGGCACGAAAGUGUGGGGAGCAAACAGGAUUAGAUACCCCCGUAGUCCCUGUCUCUUAUACA
RNAcentral lists this ribosomal RNA (301 nucleotides) under uncultured bacterium. RNAcentral describes it as "partial 16S ribosomal RNA". It matches the Rfam family "Bacterial small subunit ribosomal RNA", at positions 509 to 808 of the family's 1533-position model. The record is from RNAcentral.